Molecule: unclassified non-coding RNA, 199 nt
Filed under: fungal sp.
Lineage: Eukaryota; Fungi
Description: partial internal transcribed spacer region
Rfam family: Eukaryotic small subunit ribosomal RNA (bases 1-46)
Source: RNAcentral
AAGUCGUAACAAGGUUUCCGUAGGUGAACCUGCGGAAGGAUCAUUAUCACGUAUCCACGUAUAAACCAUAUUGAAUCGUUUCCCUUUGGGACAGAGCGAAAAGCAAUUAUGAAGGACUGUGGCCUUCGCGCCCCCCUUAACAAAGGCUCUAAUUUAUUCGAAUUAAAAACAAUUCUUAACAACGGAUAUCUUGGUUCCC